Molecule: ribosomal RNA, 970 nt
Filed under: human gut metagenome
Description: bacterial LSU rRNA
Rfam family: Bacterial large subunit ribosomal RNA
Source: RNAcentral
UAGCGAAAUUCCUUGUCGGGUAAGUUCCGACCCGCACGAAAGGCGUAAUGAUUUGAGCGCUGUCUCGACAAUGCAUCCGGUGAAAUUGAAGUACCAGUGAAGAUGCUGGUUACCCGCGCCAGGACGGAAAGACCCCAUGGAGCUUUACUCCAGUUUGAUACUGGGAUUCGGUACUGCACGUACAGGAUAGGUGGGAGACUGAGAACUAUGGACGCCAGUCUGUAGGGAGUCGCUGUUGGGAUACCACCCCUGUAGUACUGGGUUUCUAACCAGUUGCCAUGAACUGGCAAUGGGACAAUGUCAGGCGGGGAGUUUGACUGGGGCGGUCGCCUCCGAAAGGGUAUCGGAGGCGCUCAAAGGUUCCCUCAGAAUGGUCGGAAACCAUUCGAAGAGUGCAAAGGCAGAAGGGAGCUUGACUGCGACACCGACGGGUGGAGCAGGUACGAAAGUAGGACUUAGUGAUCCGGUGGUAUAAAGUGGGAUUGCCAUCGCUCAACGGAUAAAAGCUACCCUGGGGAUAACAGGCUUAUCACUCCCAAGAGUUCACAUCGACGGAGUGGUUUGGCACCUCGAUGUCGGCUCAUCGCAUCCUGGGGCUGUAGUAGGUCCCAAGGGUUGGGCUGUUCGCCCAUUAAAGCGGUACGCGAGCUGGGUUCAGAACGUCGUGAGACAGUUCGGUCCCUAUCUGUCGUGGGCGCAGGAUAUUUGAUGGGAGCUGUCCCUAGUACGAGAGGACCGGGACGGACGUACCUCUGGCGCACCAGUUGUUCCGCCAGGAGCAUAGCUGGGCAACUACGUACGGAUCGGAUAAACGCUGAAAGCAUCUAAGCGUGAAGCCGACCCAAAGAUAAGAUAUCCCAUUGUUUCAAACAAGUAAGACCCCUUGAAGACUACAAGGUUGAUAGGCACGAUGUGUAAGUGGAGCGAUCCAUUCAGCAAGCGUGUACUAAUAGGUCGAGGGCUUGACCAC